AUAGGCAAGCGCGGCCACAUAGGCUAGACGCACUAUCUUCUCCUCUACCCCGCGCCGCCCUCCACCUCGGAGCGGGGACGUACGGUGGUGGCGGUGACACAAUGCGAGUGAGUGGAGCCUUUGGAAGGAAUUGGGCCAUGAGAAGAGCCCUCAUGAAUGGGAUUAGUUCCCUUAUAAGAAGAGACACCAAGGAAGUGAUCUUUCUCUGCCCUCUGCUAUGUGAAGACAAGGUCAUCUGCAGUUUUUUGUUGUUGUUGAUGAUCUUCCUGUCAUAGACAAUGCUGUAACAAACAGACUAGUAAGUAUACCUGUAUAAACUCCAGCAACUUUUUCUGUAAUGUUUCCUAGUUGAGAGGUUACUGGGCAAAAAGCAGACACGUAUAAAAUUCUACUAGAUAUUCUUAGAUUUUCUGUAAAGUUAGGACCAAGUUAAAUUUUUACAAGUAGUGUACCACAGUACAUGUUUUCCCCAAUACUAAAUAUUAGCAAAGUUUUUUGAAUUAUGCAAACCUGAUAGUCAAAAAAACCUCAUUAUUGUAACUGUGUUAUCUUGACUGCUAGUGAGGUUAC
This 570-nucleotide long non-coding RNA is filed under the name Homo sapiens (human). Its description in RNAcentral is "EDIL3 divergent transcript". The record is from RNAcentral. Lineage: Eukaryota; Metazoa; Chordata; Mammalia; Primates; Hominidae.